AUACGGAGGAUCCGAGCGUUAUCCGGAUUUAUUGGGUUUAAAGGGUGCGCAGGCGGCCAUUUAAGUCAGCGGUUAAAUCGUGGGGCUCAACCCCAUUCUGCCGUUGAUACUGGGUGGCUUGAUUGCGGUCGAGGUUGGCGGAAUUCGUUGUGUAGCGGUGAAAUGCAUAGAUAUGACGAAGAACACCGAUUGCGUAGGCAGCUGACCAGACCGCAAAUGACGCUCAUGCACGAAAGUGCGGGGAUCGAACAGGAUUAGAUACCCUGGUAGUCCGCACGGUAAACGAUGAAUACUUGUUUUCGGCGAUAUAAUGUCGGAGGCAAAGCGAAAGCGAUAAGUAUUCCACCUGGGGAGUACGCCGGCAACGGUGAAACUCAAAGGAAUUGACGGGG
Molecule: ribosomal RNA, 392 nt
Filed under: uncultured bacterium
Lineage: Bacteria
Description: partial 16S ribosomal RNA
Rfam family: Bacterial small subunit ribosomal RNA
Source: RNAcentral